This 216-nucleotide ribosomal RNA is filed under the name uncultured Streptomyces sp. Its description in RNAcentral is "partial 16S ribosomal RNA". It matches the Rfam family "Bacterial small subunit ribosomal RNA", at positions 28 to 248 of the family's 1533-position model. Lineage: Bacteria; Bacillati; Actinomycetota; Actinomycetes; Kitasatosporales; Streptomycetaceae. The record is from RNAcentral.
GACGAACGCUGGCGGCGUGCUUAACACAUGCAAGUCGAACGAUGAACCACUUCGGUGGGGAUUAGUGGCGAACGGGUGAGUAACACGCGGGCAAUCUGCCCUGCACUCUGGGACAAGCCCUGGAAACGGGGUCUAAUACCGGAUAAUACUCCCGCACUCAUGUGUGGGGGUUAAAAGCUCCGGCGGUGCAGGAUGAGCCCGCGGCCUAUCAGCUUG